RNAcentral lists this ribosomal RNA (377 nucleotides) under uncultured bacterium. RNAcentral describes it as "bacterial SSU rRNA". It matches the Rfam family "Bacterial small subunit ribosomal RNA", at positions 47 to 420 of the family's 1533-position model. The record is from RNAcentral.
CCUAACACAUGCAAGUCGAACGGUAACAGGAAGCAGCUUGCUGCUUCGCUGACGAGUGGCGGACGGGUGAGUAAUGUCUGGGAAGCUGCCUGAUGGAGGGGGACAACUACUGGAAACGGUAGCUAAUACCGCAUAAUGUCGCAAGACCAAAGAGGGGGACCUUCGGGCCUCUUGCCAUCGGAUGUGCCCAGAUGGGAUUAGCUUGUUGGUGGGGUAACGGCUCACCAAGGCGACGAUCCCUAGCUGGUCUGAGAGGAUGACCAGCCACACUGGAACUGAGACACGGUCCAGACUCCUACGGGAGGCAGCAGUGGGGAAUAUUGCACAAUGGGCGCAAGCCUGAUGCAGCCAUGCCGCGUGUAUGAAGAAGGCCUUCG